Molecule: ribosomal RNA, 460 nt
Filed under: uncultured bacterium
Lineage: Bacteria
Description: partial 16S ribosomal RNA
Rfam family: Bacterial small subunit ribosomal RNA
Source: RNAcentral
CCUACGGGAGGCAGCAGUGAGGAAUAUUGGUCAAUGGACGCAAGUCUGAACCAGCCAUGCCGCGUGCAGGAAGACGGCUCUAUGAGUUGUAAACUGCUUUUGUACGAGGGUAAACGCAGAUACGCGUAUCUGUCUGAAAGUAUCGUACGAAUAAGGAUCGGCUAACUCCGUGCCAGCAGCCGCGGUAAUACGGAGGAUUCAAGCGUUAUCCGGAUUUAUUGGGUUUAAAGGGUGCGUAGGCGGUCGGAUAAGUUAGAGGUGAAAUCCCGAGGCUCAACUUCGGAAUUGCUUCUGAUACUGUUCGGCGAGAGAGUAGUUGCGGUAGGCGGAAUGUAUGGUGUAGCGGUGAAAUGCUUAGAGAUCAUACAGAACACCGAUUGCGAAGGCAGCUUACCAAGCUACUUCUGACGUUGAGGCACGAAAGCGUGGGGAGCAAACAGGAUUAGAUACCCCAGUAGUC